This 2007-nucleotide long non-coding RNA is filed under the name Gopherus agassizii (Agassiz's desert tortoise). Its description in RNAcentral is "lncRNA (ENSGAGG00000004137.1)". Lineage: Eukaryota; Metazoa; Chordata; Testudines; Testudinidae. The record is from RNAcentral.
AGGUAACAAGCAGCUAUCUGCAUCAUCACUUGUUUAACUAUGGUCUUCUUUAUUUUAAGAAAUGAAGCUCCCCUGAAAGAAGAUGUUUUUAAUCUUGAAGAAACAGAAAGGAAGAAUAAUUUUCACCUGUCUAAAUCUGCUUCAGAAGAAAAGAAAAACCUCAUCUCCUUGACUAUUGAGGAUGAAAUGGAGAAACCAAAUGCCAAAAUAAUCAAUGUGGGCUCUCCGAAAGCAAAAUCUCCCAGGCCGGUGGUGAAAGUGAGUGAAACAUACCCCAUCAUUUAUGCUGAAGAAGGAUAUAUGCAAAACUUUAUUCUGAAGAAGUGGUUGCAUUUACAUGGAGAUAAAGUGUCUGGUGACUCAGAAAAGGAAAAUGAUGAGGUACAAACAAAUUCAAAUUCAGUUUUACAAAACAACUGUGAUUAUGCCCUUGCCUUAGUUGGAAAGGAAGAAAAGAGUAUGUUUAACAUAGCUGUGAAGGAGAAUAAAAAGCUAAAAAGAACAUUAUCCGGGAAACGGAAAAUCAAUAUUCAUAUUUUAUCUUCAGAUGGAAAAAAUAGGAGCUUAAAAGAUUCACAGAAGGAAAAAACUUUUGUGCAGAAAAUAGUUGGUAGCUUUCAUGAUGUUAAAAUACCAAUCAGUAAACUUACAUCAAAAGACAGGAAUGUUUCAACAACAAGGGCUGAAUGUAACCCUGAUGGCCUUGUUAUAUUUGGAGUGAACCCAAAAGCUGCAGCACACCAAUCUGCUAAAGCGAAUGCAGCAACCGUCGCUAAAUCUCACGGCUCUUACAGCAAGCCACUAACCACAGUCUCCCAGCUUCAUAAAAAAGGCAGGUUGGCUCAUUCUUCACAGUUGGAUUAUAUAUCCAUAACAAAACCUAUUAGAAUCCCUGACUUUCCAAAUGUCAAUUCACAGUCAUUUCACAAAAUCUCAAUGAAACGUGAUCAUUUGGAAAACAAAAGGAUUAGUCUAUCUGGAGUUUGUUUUAAGGAUAAACCUCCACCUAGUCAGAACAAUGAAGAAAUCACUGAAGUAUCCAAACCUGCCAGGUGUUCUCAGCCAGCUUCUUGCAAGGAAGAAACAUCAGCUGAGAUAAAGCUAAAUAAUAAGGAAUAUUGCAUAGAUAGUAGGAAAGGCCAAGAAUGGGAUAAUACUGUGGAAUUCUGGAGCACUCGCAGAUCUUCAGCAUCACUGAAAAAUUCACAUGCAGUGCCAGACAGUAGCCCUGAGCCCCAGAAAAAAGCAAUGCUACCUGAACGCCCAGCAUCAUUACCUGUUAACUUCAAUCAUCCAAUUAUUAGUAUACCAACUGCACAAUGUAAUGCCUCAGAAUUCAAGAUAAAAAAAGUCGAGGCUGAAUUUACAAAUGACACUGGAUACUCUAAAGGACACCAGGCGCUACAAUUAACUGAUGGUAUGUCUAACAAUGGGCUGCCAAAGAUAUAUGGGAUUGGUCAAUUUCUGAAAUAAGCAAUCUAGGUGUUGUGGUGAUUUUUUCUCAGAACAGCUAUUAUCCUGUACAUGAACUUAUGUAAACCAUGAGAGGUUUGCCAUUACAAUGAAUUAUGAUAUAGCAAUUAUAAGGGGAUGUGUGUCUCUUAAAAAUUAAUUGAUAGGCCUUUAUUCAAUGGUUUUAUUAGGCAAACAUAAAAAGCAUAAAAAUCCUAUUUCAAGCACAGAAGUUAUUUCUUUUAAAUCCUGAAUGACUUUGUGUGUGAACAUUUUAAUGCAUUAAGAUAUUUAUCUUUACUUAUAAAUACACAGAGAAGAGGUAUGUAACCCUUCUGCCUCUCUGAGUUGGCAGCAACAAGGGCCGGGUUCAGUAUCCAGGGGUUCCGUUUCAGUAACACAAUGCAUAACCGGCUCGAGCCCCCACCCAGUGACCUGGGACACUUACAUACCACACCGCCCUGGGCGCCUCUAGGAGGCAAUACUUCCCCUCUCGCAAGCACGGAGUCUGAGUGUAGCAAAAUCUUUUUAAUAAAGGAAGGAAUCAAUGCGGCA